RNAcentral lists this ribosomal RNA (374 nucleotides) under uncultured organism. RNAcentral's name for it is "partial 16S ribosomal RNA". It matches the Rfam family "Bacterial small subunit ribosomal RNA", at positions 527 to 896 of the family's 1533-position model. The record is from RNAcentral.
GUAGGUGGCAAGCGUUAUCCGGAAUUAUUGGGCGUAAAGCGCUCGCAGGCGGUCUUUUUAAGUCUGAUGUGAAAGCCCACGGCUCAACCGUGGAGGGUCAUUGGAAACUGGGAGACUUGAGUGCAGAAGAGGAGAGUGGAAUUCCACGUGUAGCGGUGAAAUGCGUAGAGAUGUGGAGGAACACCAGUGGCGAAGGCGACUCUCUGGUCUGUAACUGACGCUGAGGAGCGAAAGCGUGGGGGGAGCGAACAGGAUUAGAUACCCUGGUAGUCCACGCCGUAAACGAUGGUGCUAAGUGUUAGGGGGUUUCCCGCCCUUUAGUGCUGCAGCAAACCGCAUUAAGCACUCCGCCUGGGAGUACGGUCGCAAGACUG